AUUGAACGCUGGCGGAAUGCUUUACACAUGCAAGUCGAGCGGCAGCGCGGCCUUCGGGCUGGCGGCGAGCGGCGAACGGGUGAGUAAUGCAUCGGAACAUGCCCAGUCGUGGGGGAUAACACUUCGAAAGAAGUGCUAAUACCGCAUACGUCCUGAGGGGGAAAGCGGGGGAUCGCAAGACCUCGCGCGAUUGGAGUGGCCGAUGUCAGAUUAGCUAGUUGGUGGGGGAAAGGCCUACCAAGGCGACGAUCUGUAGCUGGUCUGAGAGGAUGAUCAGCCACACUGGGACUGAGACACGGCCCAGACUCCUACGGGAGGCAGCAGUGGGGAAUUUUGGACAAUGGGGGCAACCCUGAUCCAGCCAUUCCGCGUGAGUGAAGAAGGCCUUCGGGUUGUAAAGCUCUUUCGGCAGGAACGAAACGGUGGGCUCUAACAUAGUCCGCUAAUGACGGUACCUGAAGAAGAAGCACCGGCUAACUACGUG
Molecule: ribosomal RNA, 484 nt
Filed under: uncultured bacterium
Lineage: Bacteria
Description: partial 16S ribosomal RNA
Rfam family: Bacterial small subunit ribosomal RNA
Source: RNAcentral